AAUUUCUUGGAAAAAUAACAAAAAUUUCAGUUUGGGGCAUAAAUAAGCUAACACAAAAGAAUAAGAAAGCCUUCAUAAAACCCACAGCAGAAAUGACGAAAUUCCCCUUUGAAUCGUAUCUAAUGUCACAGCU
RNAcentral lists this small nucleolar RNA (133 nucleotides) under Cavia porcellus (domestic guinea pig). Its description in RNAcentral is "Small nucleolar RNA SNORA26". It matches the Rfam family "Small nucleolar RNA SNORA26". Rfam says of the family: The snoRNA HBI-6 belong to the H/ACA family of snoRNAs, guiding the pseudouridylation of position U4522 if the 28S rRNA. HBI-6 is the human orthologue of mouse MBI-6 snoRNA. Lineage: Eukaryota; Metazoa; Chordata; Mammalia; Rodentia; Caviidae. The record is from Rfam by way of RNAcentral.